GCACAAGCGGUGGAGCAUGUGGUUCAAUUCGAAGCAACGCGAAGAACCUUACCAGCCCUUGACAUCCUGGUCGCGGGAACGAGAGAUCGAUCCCUUCAGUUCGGCUGGACCAGAGACAGGUGCUGCAUGGCUGUCGUCAGCUCGUGUCGUGAGAUGUUGGGUUAAGUCCCGCAACGAGCGCAACCCUUAUCCCCAGUUGCCAUCAUUUAGUUGGGCACUCUGGUGAAACCGCCUCGGAUAACGGGGAGGAAGGUGGGGAUGACGUCAAGUCCUCAUGGCCUUUAUGUCCAGGGCUACACACGUGCUACAAUGGCCGGUACAAACCGUCGCAAACCCGCGAGGGGGAGCUAAUCGGAAAAAGCCGGCCUCAGUUCGGAUUAGAGUCUGCAACUCGACUCUAUGAAGCUGGAAUCGCUAGUAAUCGCGGAUCAGAACGCCGCGGUGAAUACGUUCCCGGGC
Molecule: ribosomal RNA, 459 nt
Filed under: uncultured bacterium
Lineage: Bacteria
Description: bacterial SSU rRNA
Rfam family: Bacterial small subunit ribosomal RNA
Source: RNAcentral